AGGCGUGCGAUACAGGGUGACAGCCCCGUACACAAAAAUGCACAUGCUGUGAGCUCGAUGAGUAGGGCGGGACACGUGGUAUCCUGUCUGAAUAUGGGGGGACCAUCCUCCAAGGCUAAAUACUCCUGACUGACCGAUAGUGAACCAGUACCGUGAGGGAAAGGCGAAAAGAACCCCGGCGAGGGGAGUGAAAAAGAACCUGAAACCGUGUACGUACAAGCAGUGGGAGCACGCUUAGGCGUGUGACUGCGUACCUUUUGUAUAAUGGGUCAGCGACUUAUAUUCUGUAGCAAGGUUAACCGAAUAGGGGAGCCGAAGGGAAACCGAGUCUUAACUGGGCGUUAAGUUGCAGGGUAUAGACCCGAAACCCGGUGAUCUAGCCAUGGGCAGGUUGAAGGUUGGGUAACACUAACUGGAGGACCGAACCGACUAAUGUUGAAAAAUUAGCGGAUGACUUGUGGCUGGGGGUGAAAGGCCAAUCAAACCGGGAGAUAGCUGGUUCUCCCCGAAAGCUAUUUAGGUAGCGCCUCGUGAAUUCAUCUCCGGGGGUAGAGCACUGUUUCGGCAAGGGGGUCAUCCCGACUUACCAACCCGAUGCAAACUGCGAAUACCGGAGAAUGUUAUCACGGGAGACACACGGCGGGUGCUAACGUCCGUCGUGAAGAGGGAAACAACCCAGACCGCCAGCUAAGGUCCCAAAGUCAUGGUUAAGUGGGAAACGAUGUGGGAAGGCCCAGACAGCCAGGAUGUUGGCUUAGAAGCAGCCAUCAUUUAAAGAAAGCGUAAUAGCUCACUGGUCGAGUCGGCCUGCGCGGAAGAUGUAACGGGGCUAAACCAUGCACCGAAGCUGCGGCAGCGACGCUGAUGCGUUGUUGGGUAGGGGAGCGUUCUGUAAGCCUGCGAAGGUGUGCUGUGAGGCAUGCUGGAGGUAUCAGAAGUGCGAAUGCUGACAUAAGUAACGAUAAAGCGGGUGAAAAGCCCGCUCGCCGGAAGACCAAGGGUUCCUGUCCAACGUUAAUCGGGGCAGGGUGAGUCGACCCCUAAGGCGAGGCCGAAAGGCGUAGUCGAUGGGAAACAGGUUAAUAUUCCUGUACUUGGUGUUACUGCGAAGGGGGGACGGAGAAGGCUAUGUUGGCCGGGCGACGGUUGUCCCGGUUUAAGCGUGUAGGCUGGUUUUCCAGGCAAAUCCGGAAAAUCAAGGCUGAGGCGUGAUGACGAGGCACUACGGUGCUGAAGCAACAAAUGCCCUGCUUCCAGGAAAAGCCUCUAAGCAUCAGGUAACAUCAAAUCGUACCCCAAACCGACACAGGUGGUCAGGUAGAGAAUACCAAGGCGCUUGAGAGAACUCGGGUGAAGGAACUAGGCAAAAUGGUGCCGUAACUUCGGGAGAAGGCACGCUGAUAUGUAGGUGAAGUCCCUCGCGGAUGGAGCUGAAAUCAGUCGAAGAUACCAGCUGGCUGCAACUGUUUAUUAAAAACACAGCACUGUGCAAACACGAAAGUGGACGUAUACGGUGUGACGCCUGCCCGGUGCCGGAAGGUUAAUUGAUGGGGUCAGCGCAAGCGAAGCUCUUGAUCGAAGCCCCGGUAAACGGCGGCCGUAACUAUAACGGUCCUAAGGUAGCGAAAUUCCUUGUCGGGUAAGUUCCGACCUGCACGAAUGGCGUAAUGAUGGCCAGGCUGUCUC
Molecule: ribosomal RNA, 1686 nt
Filed under: Escherichia coli
Lineage: Bacteria; Pseudomonadati; Pseudomonadota; Gammaproteobacteria; Enterobacterales; Enterobacteriaceae
Description: bacterial LSU rRNA
Rfam family: Bacterial large subunit ribosomal RNA
Source: RNAcentral